CCAGUCCUCUGAAUUCUGCUUGAAGCCUUGGCGUUCAAGGCAGAGAUCGCCAGGCAAGCAUCAGGCCAGACACUGGGAGUUUAUCCUGAGAGCCUGGCCUCACGCUGACAGGGGAGGAAAGACAACCUGCCUGGCUGGUUGGGGGCUGAGUCUUGCAGGAGGCUAUAGGAAUUCAUGAAUCAAUGGACAUAUGACUGAAUUUGUUCAUCUCUACCACGGAAGCUACAGACGUGGGGACUCUUCCAUCCCUAGGGACCUGGGACCUGUCCUGAGGAAGGUCAGAUCCCAUGGAGGGAAGGGAUCCAUGUGCAUCAGAAGGUGUAUAUUCCAAGGCCAUGCACACAUUCUCCCCUUUCUACAAACAAGCAGGCCAGGCUUAAAGGGGUGAGGUAAAGUGACUACAGUCCCAACACUGGUAUGGGGAUGAACUUCAGGCUCAAAGCUAAGAAGAGAAAACAAGAGCUUCAAAGCAAUGGAGUUGUGGCACGUGCCUUGCAUCAUCUCCCUUCCAUUCUACCACUGUGGUUUUUCCCUGUUCCGGGCCCCAUGGGCAACAGGUGCACAAGACAGUCACAGUCCUCAAGGCUCAGUGUAACCAGGGAUUCUGCACAAACCAGCUGCCGAUGGUCACAUAUUCUCUGAACUCCGAGAUGAACCUCAGGCCCUUGAAAACAAUAAAAGGCAACAACAGCAUUCUUUGUGUUUCUUGCCUAAGUGGACGAGGAGCUGCCAGCAAUUACGCUGGGGCCUUUGCCGCAAAGCCUGCUUGCUUCCAGAGCUACAGCUGCGCUCCAGAGAGAUCGUUAGUCGGUGCGCACAUGUUAUUGAGGGCAGUGGUGUCAUUGCCAGUUGAAGAUGCCCUCAGUCAAGUGUAAGAGCCGGAAAUGGAGGUCAAAAUAAUUAACCUCGUGUGAUUUUGGCAGAGCUCCUUGCAAAAUCACCGUGUGCAUCUCAUAUUUCAGCAAAAUAACACAUCCAUUGGUUCCCAAGUCUCUCUUUCCCUCCCUUCGUCCCUCACUCUACUGUCAGUCUUUCCCCCUUCCUCUCUCCCACGCCGUGUCUUUAGCUUGCUUUUCUUUAGCCCCUUCCCACACCAAGAGCAGGUCAUCAUAACUCACUGCAGCCACGGCUGGCAGUGGCUCAGUACCAUCUCCCAUCACAAUCACACCAACUCUCCGAAGAAAAGCAGAAUGCAUCCCUCUACAAAGGCUUCUUCUGACCCAGUUUCAGCGUACCCACACUCAGCUGCACCACGCUCACUGUGGGAGUCACGGCCAAAGCAUCCAUGGACUGCUCAAGGAAGACUCCCAUCUGGCAUGGGGAGGGGCCAGCUUGGGUUUGGAAACUGACUCCGGGUCCAAAUGCUGUUUCUUAUUUGCUGUUGGAGAUGGGUGCCUGAAGGGAUCACGUACAGCAGAAAACUAAGGGUAUUCGCCAACUUGUGAGGGACACGCUGCCUAACAUGCAAGGUUCCCCGUAAGAGUGUGGGGGUUAUAAGCCUUAAUUCUGUUCCCUCAUCCAGCCAGCCAUCCUUUUCAUUCAACGUUAUGUACUGAUGGUUGACUGCAUGGCAUGGUGUUAUGCAUGCUUUGUAACUGGUGUGAGACAUUUUAUUAAUUAAAGAUGUCAUUAUAGCCAUA
Molecule: long non-coding RNA, 1640 nt
Organism: Peromyscus californicus insignis
Lineage: Eukaryota; Metazoa; Chordata; Mammalia; Rodentia; Cricetidae
Exons: 4
Source: RefSeq, a predicted model, not a curated record